UGGGGAAUCUUGGACAAUGGGGGCAACCCUGAUCCAGCCAUGCCGCGUGAGUGAUGAAGGCCUUAGGGUCGUAAAGCUCUUUCGCCUGUGAAGAUAAUGACGGUAGCAGGUAAAGAAACCCCGGCUAACUCCGUGCCAGCAGCCGCGGUAAUACGGAGGGGGUUAGCGUUGUUCGGAAUUACUGGGCGUAAAGCGCACGUAGGCGGACCAGAAAGUUGGGGGUGAAAUCCCGGGGGCUCAACCCCGGAACUGCCUCCAAAACUAUUGGUCUAGAGUUCGAGAGAGGUGAGUGGAAUUCCAAGUGUAGAGGUGAAAUUCGUAGAUAUUUGGAGGAACACCAGUGGCGAAGGCGGCUCACUGGCUCGAUACUGACGCUGAGGUGCGAAAGUGUGGGGAGCAAACAGGAUUAGAUACCCUGGGUAGUCCACACCGUAAACGAUGAAUGCCAGUCGUCGGGUAGCAUGCUAUUCGGUGACACACCU
RNAcentral lists this ribosomal RNA (482 nucleotides) under uncultured bacterium. Its description in RNAcentral is "bacterial SSU rRNA". It matches the Rfam family "Bacterial small subunit ribosomal RNA", at positions 355 to 853 of the family's 1533-position model. The record is from RNAcentral.